AGGGUUUGAUUAUGGCUCAGGAUGAACGCUAGCUACAGGCUUAACACAUGCAAGUCGAGGGGCAGCAUUUUAGUUUGCUUGCAAACUAAAGAUGGCGACCGGCGCACGGGUGAGUAACACGUAUCCAACCUGCCGAUAACUCAGGGAUAGCCUUUCGAAAGAAAGAUUAAUACCUGAUGGCAUAGGAUUAUCGCAUGAUAAUCCUAUUAAAGAAUUUCGGUUAUCGAUGGGGAUGCGUUCCAUUAGUUUGUUGGCGGGGUAACGGCCCACCAAGACUGCGAUGGAUAGGGGUUCUGAGAGGAAGGUCCCCCACAUUGGAACUGAGACACGGUCCAA
Molecule: ribosomal RNA, 336 nt
Filed under: uncultured bacterium
Lineage: Bacteria
Description: bacterial SSU rRNA
Rfam family: Bacterial small subunit ribosomal RNA
Source: RNAcentral